RNAcentral lists this ribosomal RNA (253 nucleotides) under uncultured bacterium. RNAcentral's name for it is "partial 16S ribosomal RNA". It matches the Rfam family "Bacterial small subunit ribosomal RNA", at positions 524 to 776 of the family's 1533-position model. The record is from RNAcentral.
UACGUAGGGGGCUAGCGUUGUCCGGAUUUAUUGGGCGUAAAGAGCGUGUAGGCGGCCAGAUAGGUCUGCUGUGAAAACUCGAGGCUCAACCUCGAGAUGUCGGCGGAAACCAUUUGGCUAGAGUCCGGAAGAGGAAAGUGGAAUUCCUGGUGUAGCGGUGAAAUGCGCAGAUAUCAGGAAGAACACCCGUGGCGAAGGCGGCUGUCUGGGACGGUACUGACGCUGAGACGCGAAAGCGUGGGGAGCGAACAGG